This 466-nucleotide ribosomal RNA is filed under the name uncultured bacterium. RNAcentral describes it as "partial 16S ribosomal RNA". It matches the Rfam family "Bacterial small subunit ribosomal RNA", at positions 28 to 507 of the family's 1533-position model. The record is from RNAcentral.
GAUGAACGCUGACAGAAUGCUUAACACAUGCAAGUCAACUUGAAUUUGGGUUUUUAACUUAGGUUUGGGUGGCGGACGGGUGAGUAACGCGUAAAGAACUUGCCUCACAGCUAGGGACAACAUUUGGAAACGAAUGCUAAUACCUAAUAUUAUGAUAAUAGUGCAUCCUAUAAUUAUGAAAGCUAUAAGCGCUGUGAGAGAGCUUUGCGUCCCAUUAGCUAGUUGGAGAGGUAACGGCUCACCAAGGCGAUGAUGGGUAGCCGGUCUGAGAGGGUGAUCGGCCAAAAGGGGAACGGGACACGGCCCUUCCCCCUACGGGAGGAUGGGGGGGGGAAUAUUGGAAAAGUACCGGGGGGUUUAAGCCGGCAUUUGGGUGGGAAAAAUGAAUUUUUUCGAAAGGAAAAGUGCUUUCUGUUGGGAAGAAACAAUGGCGGGAACCAAAAAAAGAAGUACGGGUAAAUUCGUG